Molecule: ribosomal RNA, 454 nt
Filed under: Braunsia nr. nigriceps NL-2005
Lineage: Eukaryota; Metazoa; Arthropoda; Insecta; Hymenoptera; Braconidae
Description: partial 28S ribosomal RNA
Source: RNAcentral
CUUGAGAAACCCAAAAGUUCGAAAAGAGAGANCAACGUCAAUUUGUAUUGUAUUCACGUGAGUAGUGAUGUGAGUUUUUGAUGAUUGGGUUAAACCUUUCAUUCAAUACUUGCACAUUUUCAUGUUAUUUUAUUGCAAUAUCAGACCGGCGUGCACUUCUCUCUUAGUAGGACGUCCCGACCCGUUGAGUCUUGGCCUACGGCACAGAUGGUAGCCUUUAACAUUUUAAUGUUAAAGACCUCUGAUGUUCUCCUGGCUAAAGUACUCGACGGUAGUUUAUGACGUGGUGUCCAGCCGCAUUUUUAAUGCGCCCGGCCAGUCGCAAGUUUUUUGAUGUAUUCCGUAUUAUCAUAGACAGCGUGCUAUGUAUAUGGUUAUGUCGCUUUGCAUGACUGUGCUUUAGGGCCGGCUUACUUCGCCUGUCUGGGACGCUUAGGCUUUGGGUACUCUCAAG